This 1395-nucleotide ribosomal RNA is filed under the name Streptomyces cadmiisoli. Its description in RNAcentral is "16S ribosomal RNA". It matches the Rfam family "Bacterial small subunit ribosomal RNA". The record is from RNAcentral. Lineage: Bacteria; Bacillati; Actinomycetota; Actinomycetes; Kitasatosporales; Streptomycetaceae.
CAGUCGACGAUGAAGCCCUUCGGGGUGGAUUAGUGGCGAACGGGUGAGUAACACGUGGGCAAUCUGCCCUGCACUCUGGGACAAGCCCUGGAAACGGGGUCUAAUACCGGAUAUGAGCCUCUUCCGCAUGGUUGAGGUUGUAAAGCUCCGGCGGUGCAGGAUGAGCCCGCGGCCUAUCAGCUUGUUGGUGAGGUAACGGCUCACCAAGGCGACGACGGGUAGCCGGCCUGAGAGGGCGACCGGCCACACUGGGACUGAGACACGGCCCAGACUCCUACGGGAGGCAGCAGUGGGGAAUAUUGCACAAUGGGACGUAAAAGCCUGAYGCAGCGAYGYCGSGCUGGAGGGAUGGACGGCCUUCGAGGUUSUAARCCUCUUUCCAGCAKGGAAGAUAGCGAAAGCUGAUCGGUACCUGCAGGAAGAAGCGCCGGCUAWCUACGWGCCAGCAGCCGCCGGUAAUACGUAGGGCGCAAGCGUUGUCMGGAWUUAUUGGGCGUACAAGAGCUCGUAGGCGGCUUGUCACGUCGGUUGUGAAAGCCCGGGGCUUAACCCCGGGUCUGCAGUCGAUACGGGCAGGCUAGAGUUCGGUAGGGGAGAUCGGAAUUCCUGGUGUAGCGGUGAAAUGCGCAGAUAUCAGGAGGAACACCGGUGGCGAAGGCGGAUCUCUGGGCCGAUACUGACGCUGAGGAGCGAAAGCGUGGGGAGCGAACAGGAUUAGAUACCCUGGUAGUCCACGCCGUAAACGGUGGGCACUAGGUGUGGGCAACAUUCCACGUUGUCCGUGCCGCAGCUAACGCAUUAAGUGCCCCGCCUGGGGAGUACGGCCGCAAGGCUAAAACUCAAARGAAUUGACGGGGGCCCGCACAAGCGGCGGAGCAUGUGGCUUAAUUCKACGCAACGCGAAGAACCUUACCAAGGCUUGACAUACACCGGAAACGUCUGGGAGACAGGCGCCCCCUUGUGGUCGGUGUACAGGUGGUGCAUGGCUGUCGUCAGCUCGUGUCGUGAGAUGUUGGGUUAAGUCCCGCAACGAGCGCAACCCUUGUCCCGUGUUGCCAGCAGGCCCUUGUGGUGCUGGGGACUCACGGGAGACCGCCGGGGUCAACUCGGAGGAAGGUGGGGACGACGUCAAGUCAUCAUGCCCCUUAUGUCUUGGGCUGCACACGUGCUACAAUGGCCGGUACAAUGAGCUGCGAUACCGUGAGGUGGAGCGAAUCUCAAAAAGCCGGUCUCAGUUCGGAUUGGGGUCUGCAACUCGACCCCAUGAAGUCGGAGUCGCUAGUAAUCGCAGAUCAGCAUUGCUGCGGUGAAUACGUUCCCGGGCCUUGUACACACCGCCCGUCACGUCACGAAAGUCGGUAACACCCGAAGCCGGUGGCCCAACCCUUGUGGAGG